AAAAAAGUAAAUUUUUAACCUAAAUUAGUAAAAGUUAAGUUCUUGAAAAUUAAGAAAAAUGGCGGUACUUUAGUCUAUUCAGAGGAACCUGUCCUGUAAUUGAUAAUCCACGUUUUUAUGUACUUAUUUUUUUAGUUUGCAUAUCGCCGUAAUUAGAGUAUUUUUGUUGGAUUUUAAUACUCAAGAUUUUAAUUUGAAAUAAUAUCAGGUCAAGAUGUAGUUUAUAAAUAAGAGGGAGAUGGGUUACAGUAAAAUUAUUUUUGGAUAUUUUUUUUAAAAACUAUUGAAAAUGGAUUUGAGGGUAAUUUGUUAAUAAAAUUUGAUAGAUGAUUAAAGCUCUAAA
This 343-nucleotide ribosomal RNA is filed under the name Lymantor coryli. Its description in RNAcentral is "partial 12S small subunit ribosomal RNA". Lineage: Eukaryota; Metazoa; Arthropoda; Insecta; Coleoptera; Curculionidae. The record is from RNAcentral.